Molecule: ribosomal RNA, 167 nt
Filed under: Cypripedium henryi
Lineage: Eukaryota; Viridiplantae; Streptophyta; Magnoliopsida; Asparagales; Orchidaceae
Description: 5.8S ribosomal RNA
Rfam family: 5.8S ribosomal RNA (bases 1-110)
About the family: 5.8S ribosomal RNA (5.8S rRNA) is a component of the large subunit of the eukaryotic ribosome. It is transcribed by RNA polymerase I as part of the 45S precursor that also contains 18S and 28S rRNA.
Source: RNAcentral
AGCGAAAUGUGAUAAGUGGUGUGAAUUGCAGAAUCCCGUGAACCAUCGAGUCUUUGAACGCAAGUUGCGCCCGAUGCCAUCAGGCUAAGGGCACGCCUGCCUGGGCGUCGUGUGCUGCGUCUCUCCUGUCAAUGCUUUCCUGUCAUAUCGAUAGGUUUGCAUUGUGU